GCAGUGGUGGUUCAGUGGUAGUGUUUUUGCCUUCCAUGCAGGAGACCUGGGUUCAAUUCCUGGCCAGUGCA
Molecule: transfer RNA, 71 nt
Filed under: Loxodonta africana (African savanna elephant)
Lineage: Eukaryota; Metazoa; Chordata; Mammalia; Proboscidea; Elephantidae
Rfam family: tRNA
About the family: Transfer RNA (tRNA) molecules are approximately 80 nucleotides in length. Their secondary structure includes four short double-helical elements and three loops (D, anti-codon, and T loops). Further hydrogen bonds mediate the characteristic L-shaped molecular structure. tRNAs have two regions of fundamental functional importance: the anti-codon, which is responsible for specific mRNA codon recognition, and the 3' end, to which the tRNAs corresponding amino acid is attached (by aminoacyl-tRNA synthetases). tRNAs cope with the degeneracy of the genetic code in two manners: having more than one tRNA (with a specific anti-codon) for a particular amino acid; and 'wobble' base-pairing, i.e. permitting non-standard base-pairing at the 3rd anti-codon position.
Source: Rfam by way of RNAcentral